RNAcentral lists this ribosomal RNA (496 nucleotides) under uncultured bacterium. Its description in RNAcentral is "partial 16S ribosomal RNA". It matches the Rfam family "Bacterial small subunit ribosomal RNA", at positions 29 to 507 of the family's 1533-position model. The record is from RNAcentral.
AUGCACGCUGGCCGCGUGCCUAAUACCUGCCAGUCGAGCGAACAGAUGAGGAGCUUGCUCCUCUGACGUUAUCGGCGGACGGGUGAGUAACACGUGGAUAACCUACCUAUAAGACUGGGAUAACUUCGGGAAACCGGAGCUAAUACCGGAUAAUAUAUUGAACCGCAUGGUUCAAUAGUGAAAGACGGUUUUGCUGUCACUUAUAGAUGGAUCCGCGCCGCAUUAGCUAGUUGGUAAGGUAACGGCUUACCAAGGCAACGAUGCGUAGCCGACCUGAGAGGGUGAUCGGCCACACUGGAACUGAGACACGGUCCAGACUCCUACGGGAGGCAGCAGUAGGGAAUCUUCCGCAAUGGGCGAAAGCCUGACGGAGCAACGCCGCGUGAGUGAUGAAGGUCUUCGGAUCGUAAAACUCUGUUAUUAGGGAAGAACAAAUGUGUAAGUAACUAUGCACGUCUUGACGGUACCUAAUCAGAAAGCCACGGCUAACUACGUG